UGGAUCAAAGGAUAAUCUAAAGCAAUGGAUUGAUCAUCCAAGAUUUGAGCUAAUUCGUGAAGGUAAAGCACUCAUUGUGUUUGCUUCUACAAAUGUGUCUGGAUUUCUUGUUAUUCAUGAGUACUUUUGAUCAAAUGAAUAAAACGUCUAAGUAAUUCCAACAUAUUUGUUUAACCGUGAUUAUCAGUGAAAAUCUAGAGAUUAAACUUUAGCUAGUAGUUCCGACUUUGAGUUGAGACUUAUCUGAAGCGUCUAGAAAUGAUUAUAAAGAAAAUUUCAAUGACUAGUCAGAACUAUCUCUGUUAUACUCCUUCAUGUUUCCCUUUUCAUGAUGCAUGACCUAUUUGGGUGCAAACAAGCAUGGUGAAUAAAAUUUCUUUCGCUGGUGAAUAUGUGGGCAAAGGUUUCAGGAUUGUUGUAAGUUAUGCUUUUUAACUCAUUUCUUGACCAGGUGUUCGUUUCAGAGAAAGCUUAUUUUUUGUAUAACAAACUUCAAGACUUAUAGGAAGCUAGAAUAAUUGGAAGAACAUUUGCAGCAUUGAACACUACUUUAAGUGAAACAAAAAAUAGUAGCCUCGGGAACAAGUAACACAGUUGGCUCAUUGACAUCUUUCUACAUACGUGGCUAAAGGUGGAUGUAAACUUGAUGUACUAGUCUAAACUCACAACACACAUAAAUAUGUGGUGGUUUUCUAUUAAAUUGAUUGCAUUUGGAUUUUUCUUAUCCCUAAGAUUACUGGUUACUGAAAUAUACAAUAAUUUUAAGAAAUAACAAAGGUCCCUGACACUCAUGUGAUAGUUGGUUCUGCUAUCUAUUUUGUCAACUCCAAUUAUAUGAAGGGCAUGUUCUAAUUAUUUAAUUAGCUUAAUGAUAUUGCUUUCUUAUAAUUUUGAAGGAUACUGAGAUGGUUAACUGAUGAAAAGAAAACUACUAAAAGAAACUAAUCAAACAAAAAUUCCAAAUUCUAUUGUUGAGAUGUCACUAAGUUAUCUCCUACAUUUUCAAUUCUUUCACUUCUUUUCCCUUGAUUACUAUAUGUUAUUAAGAGUAAUUUGUUUCGUAUUCUCUUGCAGUGUUACUGAUACAAAUACUAAUGGAAUUCAUGUCUGGAAAUUUGAUUAAGUCCCUUAACAAAUUAGACGUUGAAGUAAGUUGGUAGUAUAUAAAUUCUAUUUUUCCUGUUCAAGUUUUGGCACUUUUUUGUUGCUUCUUUUGUUUGAAGUUAGCUCCAAAAGAUUUUGACGCUGGCUUGGUUUGUUUAACUAACUAUUAGUUUAUGGCUCCUAUUUUAUCCGUUCAUUUCUUCUACUUGAGUUUUCCGGUGCUGUUAGCGUUCAACUUUUCAUCUUCCGUUAAUCAUUGGGUUGGAUUAUAACUUAUACUUUAUUUGUUGAAUUCUAAUGUUAGAAAAACUAUUUAGGUUGACUUAUACUUUAAUAGUUACAUAGGUGGUUUUUUUUAUUUCAUGAAUAUGGCCAGAAUUUAUGUUGCCAAGUAUUGUGAUGAUAUAUGAGGAAUUAACUUUGUACUUUAGCUCUUAUUCAUAUGAUAAUAUCCAACAACUUCUGUUCAAUGCCUUGAUUAGAUCAAGUGACAGAUUAAUUUGUUAAAAAAAUUAGAGCUUUCAUCUAUUUAUGUAACUGGAUUUGUGCUUUUAGUUUGUCAAAAUGCUAGUCAAUUAUAAGUUUUUCAUCAAAUAUUUUUGUUUCAUUAUUUCAGCUUAGUGAUGUGGAGAGCGAGUCUACUUCCCCUCAUGGAUGUAAGAGUAGCAUCAAGCUAUAACAAUGUAAAUCACCAAGCAAGUACAUUGCACUUUGUAUAUUUAUUUAUUGAGGAUGAGGAUCUACUCUUUAUAGUAUAAUGUUUAAGUUAUCAUACAUUUAUUUGUAUAAUUUUAGUUUGAUGUGAAUUUAAAAUUAUGAUGUUUGUUAG
RNAcentral lists this long non-coding RNA (1933 nucleotides) under Nicotiana tabacum (common tobacco). Its description in RNAcentral is "long non-coding RNA (NTAB_LNC002971)". The record is from RNAcentral. Lineage: Eukaryota; Viridiplantae; Streptophyta; Magnoliopsida; Solanales; Solanaceae.